CUGUCCAGCUACACACAGAGUCGGGUGCUCUGGAAACCCCCAGGCAGACCCACUGCUGUCACCUGGCCCUGGCAGGAGAUUACUACUGAGCUUUUGCUAUCUGAGUUGCCCAUCCACGCUGCUGUAUUGUCUUUGUUAAAAGAUGCUGUUAACCAACAACUGGGACCUCUACAACAGUGCACAAGGAGGAUUGGCUCACAAGGUCCCUGCUCCAGGCUAGAGCAGCCAGUGGAAGCACCAACACCAGUAUCACAAAGAGAUGAUGGAGUCAAAAUGACUGCUUUGGUUGGAGCUGGAUUUUUCUCUGAAGUCUGUAGAAGCUUGUUACCAUGUUAAAUGCCCAGCUUUCAUUAAAUCCACACCUGAAGGGUAAGUAAAUGAAUCCUGAAUUUCAUAUUUGAAGGUAUGUGUGCUUUUCAU
This 420-nucleotide long non-coding RNA is filed under the name Junco hyemalis (dark-eyed junco). RNAcentral describes it as "lncRNA (ENSJHYG00000010298.1)". The record is from RNAcentral. Lineage: Eukaryota; Metazoa; Chordata; Aves; Passeriformes; Passerellidae.